This 253-nucleotide ribosomal RNA is filed under the name uncultured bacterium. Its description in RNAcentral is "partial 16S ribosomal RNA". It matches the Rfam family "Bacterial small subunit ribosomal RNA", at positions 524 to 776 of the family's 1533-position model. The record is from RNAcentral.
UACGUAGGGUGCGAGCGUUAAUCGGAAUUACUGGGCGUAAAGCGUGCGCAGGCGGCUUCGCAAGUCAGACGUGAAAUCCCCGGGCUUAACCUGGGAAUGGCGUUUGAAACUACGGAGCUGGAGUAUGGCAGAGGGGGGUGGAAUUCCACGUGUAGCGGUGAAAUGCGUAGAUAUGCGGAGGAACACCGAUGGCGAAGGCAAUCCCCUGGACCUGUACUGACGCUCAUGCACGAAAGCGUGGGGAGCAAACAGG